GUUUGGACAGGGUUGGAGGGGUUCAAUAUCAGGACCCGUCAUUGUACAAUACAAUGCAACCGACAUCAUGUAGAACAGAUUACUGCUGGACACCGUUCUGACCUGGCUGGACUUGUCCAACCUGUGUUUACAGGCCUCAGGUGUAGGUGCAAAAUAUGUCAAGAUGAUCUUCUUGUCCUGCAGUGAGUAUACACAUGGGUGAGGGUCCACACCAUACGUCUCCAGCUCCUGGGCCUUCUGCAGGAAGUUCAGCUCGGACUCUUCUGGAGUCUGUCCUCUGGGAGAUGAGGACACAACAGACAGAUUACUGUGGGCUGUGUGAUGAUGGAUGGAAAAGCUUCCAGCGGUAAGCUAAUGAUUUGUAAAGUGAAUUUCCUUUCAUUCAUUUCAGUGAGUGAAAGAUGAGAGAGACCAACACUAGAGGGCAGCAGAGGGAAGAUCCCAUAGGUGGUCUACAGUAGUAGAGUCUGUAUAUAUGGAUACUGCAUAUACUGUGAAGGGGGAGCGGAGAGAGAGAGAGAGAGCCUCUUGAGGGUGAUGUGAUGUUCAGCUGACUGGCAGAGUUGUCCCAGGUUGCCACAAACUAAUGACACAGCAGUACAGUACUGAGAAAAACACACACCCACACCCGUACACACGCACGCACGCACACACACACUCUGAAGGUCACUGCGGUCCCUUCACCCACUAUCCAUAAGCAGGAAGAGUUCGACAAAUAGCAGCUAGGAAAAUAUUGUAUAUUCAGCAUAUGAUGUGGAUAUGAAAUUGCAUAUCUACGGCUAAGCUAGGGUCAUGCAUAAUGUAUCUCAUCAACAUAUCUAUUUUCAUCAUGGCUGUAACAUUCUAUCUAGGAGAGAUAGGAUGAUCUUGUAUCAAGUUAGGUCCACAAUCAUCAUGCUGAUGAUGACACUAUAUUCAAUUACAAGCGCUAUGUCAAAUAUCAUAAUCACCUGGUAGAGAGAGAGAGAGAGAGAGAGAGAGAGAGAGAGAGAGAGAGAGAGAGAGAGAGAGAGAGAG
Non-coding RNA from Oncorhynchus mykiss (rainbow trout), 1017 nucleotides. NCBI's taxonomy places the organism in Eukaryota, Metazoa, Chordata, Actinopteri, Salmoniformes, Salmonidae. The record is from RefSeq and is a predicted model, not a curated record.